This 374-nucleotide ribosomal RNA is filed under the name uncultured eukaryote. Its description in RNAcentral is "partial 18S ribosomal RNA". It matches the Rfam family "Eukaryotic small subunit ribosomal RNA", at positions 592 to 975 of the family's 1831-position model. The record is from RNAcentral.
CAAUAGCGUAUAUUUAAGUUGUUGCAGUUAAAAAGCUCGUAGUUGGAUUUCGGUUAAGAGCGACCGGUCCGCCGUUUGGUGUGCACUGGUUGGUUUUAACUUCCUGUAGAGGACGUGCUCUGGGUUUAACGACCUGGACUCGGAGUCUACGUGGUUACUUUGAAAAAAUUAGAGUGUUCAAAGCGGGCUUACGCUUGAAUAUUUCAGCAUGGAAUAACACUAUAGGACUCCUGUCCUAUUUCGUUGGUCUCGGGACGGGAGUAAUGAUUAAGAGGAACAGUUGGGGGCAUUCGUAUUUCAUUGUCAGAGGUGAAAUUCUUGGAUUUAUGAAAGACGAACUUCUGCGAAAGCACUUGCCAAGGAUGUUUUCAUUA